RNAcentral lists this long non-coding RNA (478 nucleotides) under Nicotiana benthamiana. RNAcentral describes it as "long non-coding RNA (NBEN_LNC021844)". The record is from RNAcentral. Lineage: Eukaryota; Viridiplantae; Streptophyta; Magnoliopsida; Solanales; Solanaceae.
CAUGCAUAGGUAUGGGUGUACAUAAUAUCAUCAAGCCACUAAGGGCAUCCCAUCAUAUCGUCUCGGCCACUGUGGGCAACAUCAUCAACAUAUACCAGUUGAUUAGGUGGUGGUGCAUAUAUAACACCGUAACCUUUUUCCAUACCUCAUAUACAUAUAUUUACAUAUAUACACGUAUAUAACGUCAUCUAGUCAUGGAUCAAUGCACAUGUAUAAAUGAGUAAAAUGCAUGAAAAAUACAAUAAUCUCAAUAUUCCUUCCGGAUAAACUUUUUCAACUGCGUAUCAUUAUGAGACCCAAAAACAGAAGAUACUAAUAAUUCUCAUGGGGAAUCAAGAAUAUAAACACCUCUACUGUUUUUAUGAAUAGAGUUAUUUACAAAAACGAUGUGUUUGUUCGUUUCUUCAGUAUAAUUUAAAUCGUGUCAAAGGAAAGAAGAGAGAGCCUUAACGUACCUGUUUCUUGAAUUAUUGAACUA